Molecule: ribosomal RNA, 620 nt
Filed under: Verrucosispora sp. I12A-00858
Lineage: Bacteria; Bacillati; Actinomycetota; Actinomycetes; Micromonosporales; Micromonosporaceae
Description: bacterial SSU rRNA
Rfam family: Bacterial small subunit ribosomal RNA
Source: RNAcentral
GCGAACGGGUGAGUAACACGUGAGCAACCUGCCCUAGGCUUUGGGAUAACCCUCGGAAACGGGGGCUAAUACCGAAUAUUCACUCAUGGGCGCAUGUUUGUGGGUGGAAAGUUUUUCGGCUUGGGAUGGGCUCGCGGCCUAUCAGCUUGUUGGUGGGGUAAUGGCCUACCAAGGCGACGACGGGUAGCCGGCCUGAGAGGGCGACCGGCCACACUGGGACUGAGACACGGCCCAGACUCCUACGGGAGGCAGCAGUGGGGAAUAUUGCACAAUGGGCGGAAGCCUGAUGCAGCGACGCCGCGUGAGGGAUGACGGCCUUCGGGUUGUAAACCUCUUUCAGCAGGGACGAAGCGCAAGUGACGGUACCUGCAGAAGAAGCGCCGGCCAACUACGUGCCAGCAGCCGCGGUAAGACGUAGGGCGCGAGCGUUGUCCGGAUUUAUUGGGCGUAAAGAGCUCGUAGGCGGCUUGUCGCGUCGACUGUGAAAACCCGUGGCUCAACUGCGGGCCUGCAGUCGAUACGGGCAGGCUAGAGUUCGGUAGGGGAGACUGGAAUUCCUGGUGUAGCGGUGAAAUGCGCAGAUAUCAGGAGGAACACCGGUGGCGAAGGCGGGUCUCUGG